RNAcentral lists this ribosomal RNA (305 nucleotides) under uncultured bacterium. RNAcentral's name for it is "bacterial SSU rRNA". It matches the Rfam family "Bacterial small subunit ribosomal RNA", at positions 337 to 659 of the family's 1533-position model. The record is from RNAcentral.
CCCUACGGGGCGCAGCAGUGGGGAAUAUUGCACAAUGGGGGAAACCCUGAUGCAGCGACGCCGCGUGGGUGACGAAGUAUUUCGGUAUGUAAAGCCCUAUCAGCAGGGAAGAAGAUGACAGUACCUGACUAAGAAGCCCCGGCUAACUACGUGCCAGCAGCCGCGGUAAUACGUAGGGGGCAAGCGUUAUCCGGAUUUACUGGGUGUAAGGGGAGCGUAGACGGCAGUGCAAGUCCGGAGUGAAAGCCCGGGGCUCAACCCUGGGACUGCUCUGGAAACUGUAAAGCUGGAGUGCGGGAGGGGCG